RNAcentral lists this long non-coding RNA (1004 nucleotides) under Felis catus (domestic cat). Its description in RNAcentral is "lncRNA (ENSFCAG00000046450.2)". Lineage: Eukaryota; Metazoa; Chordata; Mammalia; Carnivora; Felidae. The record is from RNAcentral.
GUACUAUCUUCCUCAUAGAGUUGAUAUGUUAUACAAAGGUCAUAUAUGUGAAAAAAUCUUUGAAAAUGUGAAUGUGAUAUAAUCUGUAUCCCAGUAGUUUAUUUUUUUUAAGUUUAUUUAUUUAUUUUGAGAGAGACAGAGACAGGUCAAGUGGGGGAGGGGCAGAGAGAGAGAAUCCCAAGCAGGCUCCGCUCUGUCAGCACAGAGCCUGACACGGAGCUGGAACCCAGGAACUGUGAGAUCAUGACCUGGGCUGAAACCAAGAGUCAGAUGCUUAACUGACUGAGCCACCCAGGCGCCCCUCCCAGUAGUUUAUUCUUAAAUGAACACCAACCACCCAAUAACCAUGCCUCUGUUCCACAUACAACAUGCUGUAAGACAUUGCAGAGGUGAGGGCAGUACUUAGGUUUCCUGCUAAAGAAAUCUGAGCUCUUGCAUUAUUUUGAGACACUGUUCCGUCUUGGUUCAGAAUGGUGGUUCUGAAGGUCUGCCCUGUCUUUGGGGGCCAGGAGAGAGCUGGAGGUCAAGUUUGCUGAGUCUGGGUUUAAGCAGCACAGCCAAACCUCUUCAAGACUAAGCCUUGAUCUUGAUGUCAGUUUGUAAGACUAACACUUUGAUGGAGGUGAGAGACUCAUGUAUGAAUAGUGAUGGAGGAGCCAUGGAGCUAGAAGUUCUAGAUCCCAUAUAUUGUGGAAUUUUGGUGUAAUAAUUGGAGUUCAGGCUAAGUUUGAAGUCGACACCCCCUGACUAAGCAGAACACUGACAAGAUGUGACAUCUCUGCCAACUUGAGGAUCUACUUUGGCCUGGGAAAAUUGGAAGAGACCUUGUAAUGGAAGCGAGGACACCAAGAAGUAUAACAAAAGAUAUCUGGAUGAGGUGAGUUGGUCACUCUGUUAGGUUGGGAUACUCUCAUUUCAGAAAGAAGUGAUACGGAGGCUUUGGUGUCAGCAAUAGCAUGAACAUAGACUAGCUGGGUUUCUGCUUCAUCUCUACAGGAAGCUGG